Molecule: non-coding RNA, 180 nt
Filed under: Myxococcota bacterium
Lineage: Bacteria; Pseudomonadati; Myxococcota
Description: 6S RNA
Rfam family: 6S / SsrS RNA
About the family: E. coli 6S RNA was the first non coding RNA to be sequenced, but its function was unknown until recently. It consists of 184 nucleotides that fold into an extended hairpin structure with a large single-stranded internal bulge. The 6S RNA specifically associates with RNA polymerase holoenzyme containing the sigma70 specificity factor.
Source: RNAcentral
UGUCUUCUGCCAGGCAGGUGUUUCGGACAGUACAGUUGGCCCCCGUGUCUCAUCUUUGGGACCCAUCCCUCAUCGUGUUGUGCAUGCCUCUCUGCCGAGGACGCCGGUAGCGGUGAACAUGGUACCCACCUUCUUCGGAAGGGGGUCCAUCGGCUGUCCACACGGCUCGAGCGGAUACAC